Molecule: ribosomal RNA, 468 nt
Filed under: uncultured bacterium
Lineage: Bacteria
Description: partial 16S ribosomal RNA
Rfam family: Bacterial small subunit ribosomal RNA
Source: RNAcentral
GACGAACGCUGGCGGCGUGCUUAACACAUGCAAGUCGAACGGAAAGGCCCUGCUUUUGUGGGGUGCUCGAGUGGCGAACGGGUGAGUAACACGUGAGUAACCUGCCCUUGACUUUGGGAUAACUUCAGGAAACUGGGGCUAAUACCGGAUAGGAGCUCCUGCUGCAUGGUGGGGGUUGGAAAGUUUCGGCGGUUGGGGAUGGACUCGCGGCUUAUCAGCUUGUUGGUGGGGUAGUGGCUUACCAAGGCUUUGACGGGUAGCCGGCCUGAGAGGGUGACCGGCCAAAUUGGGACUGAGAUACGGCCCAGACUCCUAAGGGAGGCAGCAGGGGGGAAUAUUGCACAAUGGGCGGAAGCCUGAUGCAGCAACGCCGCGGGGGGGAUGACGGCCUUCGGGUUGUAAACCGCUUUCGCCUGUGACGAAGCGUGAGUGACGGUAAUGGGUAAAGAAGCACCGGCUAACUACGUG